Molecule: long non-coding RNA, 1221 nt
Organism: Perca flavescens (yellow perch)
Lineage: Eukaryota; Metazoa; Chordata; Actinopteri; Perciformes; Percidae
Exons: 3
Source: RefSeq, a predicted model, not a curated record
CAGCCGGAGGAAGAUGAGCUGACCGCGGCCGUGAUUAGGCUGAGGAUGCUUAACGUCACCCUGCUGUACAUGACAUUAGACCAGGAGAUCGCACAGCCAGGCCACAGUGGGUAAGGGGAAACACUUUGGUCAUGCUUUAAAGAAAGCAACAUUGACAGGUGGAAGGAGACAGGAGGCAAAAAGGGGUAUCUGGUGGCUAGUUGUAUUGACACCGAACGUCCAGAAGAGAUCACUCUUGUUCUGCAUUUGGACUGGAACUGUGGACUUCACUCGGCUUUUAACUGAGGCAUCAGUCAGUGUAUCUUUGUGCUUUUUAUGUUUUAAUUGCAGAGGUAUGAAAGAGAGAAAGAGAGAGACCAUUGUGACUGAGAAAACAAAAAGCAAAUGUCACCUUGCAGGUGGAGUGACAAAACUGUCAAUAUUUGAACGUAGGAGCCAAACCUCAGAGAUGUCUAAUUGCCUGAUCCAGCUAGACCAGCGAAAAGAACCCCAUUCAAAUUGGACUCACCCUGUUUCUAAUCACAUUGAAGAUUGUAGAAGAAAAUACAAUCGGCCCAUUCAAAAAGCAAUCAAAUUAUAAUUCAACCUAUUAUGAUGAUCAAUAAACAAUUAACAUUUUUUUCUGAGCAGAGCCUGACUCAGCCAUAUUGUAAAUGAAUCUCCAUCAAUGAAACAUCUCAAAUCUAGAAAGUAAUGUUCUAAAAUGAUCCAAUUUUAUCAAAAGCUUGAAGAAAUAGCUUGAUGCCAUUGAAACGCUGGACCCGAUUUUCAUAUAAAAGUCACACUAGAACAAACAUUAGAAUAAUUUAAUGCUCAAUAACUUUAGCUGAUUGCAUUUGAUGUAGAGACAACGCAUUCUUAAUAAACCUCCACUACUUUGUGGACAAUGGUGUCACUCAACAUGCUUUAUACAUCACCAACUCCGCCUAUAAAAAGUCACUUUUCCAACACUAUGCUGAUAUCAUUCCUACCUCUAUGGAUCACUUAUGAGAUUGAAUGUUGGUAAUAUCUAAUAGCACUUCUUACAUGUGACAGUCAUAAACAUGUCAGUCACAGGAUGCUUAAUGUGAUGAUAGCUUGGCUGCUGUAAUAGGACACUACCAUUAGCCUUCUAGAUUUAGCAUUCAUGUUCUCAACUGGCCACUUUAGUAAAUAAGCAAACCUUAACUGUUUCAGAUAUAUUUUACACAGUGUGACCUUUUGCUAAUGAAAGGAACUCUU